Molecule: transfer RNA, 85 nt
Filed under: Felis catus (domestic cat)
Lineage: Eukaryota; Metazoa; Chordata; Mammalia; Carnivora; Felidae
Rfam family: tRNA
About the family: Transfer RNA (tRNA) molecules are approximately 80 nucleotides in length. Their secondary structure includes four short double-helical elements and three loops (D, anti-codon, and T loops).
Source: Rfam by way of RNAcentral
GCCUGGGUGGCUCAGUCGGUUGAGCGUCCGACUUCAGCUCAGGUCACGAUCUCACGGUUUGUGGGUUUGAGCCCCGCAUCAGGCU